CCCUUAGAUGUCCUGGGCCGCACACGCGUUACACUGAUGCAUUCAACGAGCUUAUAACCUUGGCCGAGAGGCCUGGGCAAUCUUGUUAACGUGCAUCGUGAUAGGGAUAGAUUAUUGAAAUUAUUAAUCUUGAACGAGGAAUUCCUAGUAAACGCAGAUCAUCAAUCUGCAUUGAUUACGUCCCUGCCCUUUGUACACACCGCCCGUCGCACCUACCGAUUGGAUGGUCCGGUGAAGCCUCGGGAUUGUGGUUCUUGCCGCUUUAUUGUGGCGUGACCGCGAGAACUUGUCUAAACCUUAUCAUCUAGAGGAAGGUGAAGUCGUAACA
RNAcentral lists this ribosomal RNA (328 nucleotides) under uncultured eukaryote. Its description in RNAcentral is "partial 18S ribosomal RNA". It matches the Rfam family "Eukaryotic small subunit ribosomal RNA", at positions 1470 to 1796 of the family's 1831-position model. The record is from RNAcentral.